Molecule: ribosomal RNA, 332 nt
Filed under: uncultured Pseudomonas sp.
Lineage: Bacteria; Pseudomonadati; Pseudomonadota; Gammaproteobacteria; Pseudomonadales; Pseudomonadaceae
Description: bacterial SSU rRNA
Rfam family: Bacterial small subunit ribosomal RNA
Source: RNAcentral
CUGUCGUCAGCUCGUGUCGUGAGAUGUUGGUUAAGUCCGUAACCGAGCGCAACCCUUGUCCUUAGUUACCAGCACGUUAUGUGGGCGACUCUAAGGAGACUGCCGGUGGCAAACCGGGGAAGGUGGGGAUGACGUCAAGUCAUCAUGGCCUUACGGCCUGGGCUACACACGUGCUACAAUGGUCGGUACAAAGGGUUGCCAAGCCGCGAGGUGGAGCUAAUCCCAUAAAACCGAAUCGUAGUCCGGAUCGCAGUCUGCAACUCGACUGCGUGAAGUCGGAAUCGCUAGUAAUCGUGAAUCAGAAUGUCACGGUGAAUACGUUCCCGGGCCUU